UGAUUGAAACCUCUGAGAGUGA
This 22-nucleotide microRNA is filed under the name Oryctolagus cuniculus (rabbit). Its description in RNAcentral is "ocu-miR-509a-3p". Its record names the gene ocu-miR-509a-3p. The record is from miRBase by way of RNAcentral. Lineage: Eukaryota; Metazoa; Chordata; Mammalia; Lagomorpha; Leporidae.